CCUACGGGUGGCUGCAGUAGGGAAUAUUCCACAAUGGGCGAAAGCCUGAUGGAGCAACGCCGCGUGGGUGAAGAAGGUCUUCGGAUCGUAAAACCCUGUUGUUAGAGAAGAAAGAUCGUGAGAGUAGCUGUUAACGUUUCGACGGUAUCUAACCAGAAAGCCACCGCUAACUCGGCGGCAGCAGCCGCGGUAAUACGUAGGUGGCAAGCUUGAUCUGGAUUUAUUGGGUGUAAGGGGAACGCAGGGGGGCUGUUAAGUUUGAUGUGAAGGCCUUCGGCUUAAGGGGAGUAGUGCAUUGGAAACCGGGUGGCUUGAGUGCGGAUGAGGAGAGUGGAACGUGAGGUGUAGCGGUGAAAUGCGUAGAUAUAAGAAAGAACACCAGUGGCGAAAGCGUCUCUCGGAUCUGUAACUGACGCUGAGGUUCGAAAGCGUGGGUAGCAAACAGGAUUAGAUACCCUAGUAGUC
This 465-nucleotide ribosomal RNA is filed under the name uncultured bacterium. RNAcentral's name for it is "partial 16S ribosomal RNA". It matches the Rfam family "Bacterial small subunit ribosomal RNA", at positions 338 to 795 of the family's 1533-position model. The record is from RNAcentral.